CUUCUCUGGCCACAGUGAAGGACAAGCCAGAAGGCAGAAUGGAGAAGCCUGAGGGCGCCAUGCUUCCUUGCUGAAGUAGAGAUGGAUCUAGCAGGUUGGCAUCCAGCUCUAUCCACCGGUGGAAAUUACAAGAUGACCAGGACCAUAGGCCGGACCAAGCAAAGGAACUGCUGGGCGAUGGCACCUGGGAGUUUCCAAUGGCCUGCUAGUCACCGGGGCCACUGUUCACCUUUGCAUCUCAGUGGAAAGGAAACCGCACCUACUGUAAAACAGAUCCAUUCCUAUUUCCACCCCAUGGAGUGUGUCACUAAGAUAAACUCCAGGGACCACUGAGAUGCUGGUGGUUAACAAGUUCUUGCCUGGCAAGUUUUAAUUUUGAUCAGCUAAAAUUACAAAACCUGUCCCCUGU
This is a long non-coding RNA of Mastomys coucha (southern multimammate mouse), 409 nucleotides long. RefSeq lists it as uncharacterized. Lineage: Eukaryota; Metazoa; Chordata; Mammalia; Rodentia; Muridae. The transcript has 2 exons. The record is from RefSeq and is a predicted model, not a curated record.